This 77-nucleotide transfer RNA is filed under the name Bacillus subtilis subsp. subtilis str. BSP1. RNAcentral describes it as "tRNA-Arg". Lineage: Bacteria; Bacillati; Bacillota; Bacilli; Caryophanales; Bacillaceae. The record is from RNAcentral.
UCCAGACUGCCCCGGUUAUUUUCGGCGUAUAGCCUGCAAACCAGGCGUCCUUUGUCGCGCCGGAGACGCCUGUAUAA